Molecule: ribosomal RNA, 403 nt
Filed under: bacterium
Lineage: Bacteria
Description: partial 16S ribosomal RNA
Rfam family: Bacterial small subunit ribosomal RNA
Source: RNAcentral
UGGGGAAUAUUGCACAAUGGAGGGAACUCUGAUGCAGCGACGCCGCGUGAACGAAGAAGGCUUUCGAGUCGUAAAGUUCUUUUAUAUGGGAAGAUAAUGACGGUACCAUAAGAAAAAGCCCCGGCUAACUACGUGCCAGCAGCCGCGGUAAUACGUAGGGGGCUAGCGUUGUCCGGAAUCACUGGGCGUAAAGGGUUCGCAGGCGGAAAUGCAAGUCAGGUGUAAAAGGCAGUAGCUUAACUACUGUAAGCAUUUGAAACUGCAUAUCUUGAGAAGAUUAGAGGUAAGUGGAAUUUUUAGUGUAGCGGUGAAAUGCGUAGAUAUUAAAAAGGAUACCGGUGGCGAAGGCGAGUUACUGGGCUCAUUCUGACGCUGAGGAACGAUAGCGUGGGUAGCAAACAGG